GUCUCUGUAGCUCAGUGGGUAGAGCAUCAAGCGCUUAACUUGACUGUCGCGAGUUCGACUCUCGCCAGAGACGCCA
Molecule: transfer RNA, 76 nt
Filed under: Myxococcales bacterium
Lineage: Bacteria; Pseudomonadati; Myxococcota; Myxococcia; Myxococcales
Description: tRNA-Lys
Rfam family: tRNA
About the family: Transfer RNA (tRNA) molecules are approximately 80 nucleotides in length. Their secondary structure includes four short double-helical elements and three loops (D, anti-codon, and T loops). Further hydrogen bonds mediate the characteristic L-shaped molecular structure. tRNAs have two regions of fundamental functional importance: the anti-codon, which is responsible for specific mRNA codon recognition, and the 3' end, to which the tRNAs corresponding amino acid is attached (by aminoacyl-tRNA synthetases). tRNAs cope with the degeneracy of the genetic code in two manners: having more than one tRNA (with a specific anti-codon) for a particular amino acid; and 'wobble' base-pairing, i.e. permitting non-standard base-pairing at the 3rd anti-codon position.
Source: RNAcentral